This 468-nucleotide ribosomal RNA is filed under the name uncultured bacterium. RNAcentral describes it as "partial 16S ribosomal RNA". It matches the Rfam family "Bacterial small subunit ribosomal RNA", at positions 28 to 507 of the family's 1533-position model. The record is from RNAcentral.
GACGAACGCUGGCGGCGUGCUUAACACAUGCAAGUCGAACGGAAAGGCCCUGCUUUUGUGGGGUGCUCGAGUGGCGAACGGGUGAGUAACACGUGAGUAACCUGCCCUUGACUUUGGGAUAACUUCAGGAAACUGGGGCUAAUACCGGAUAGGAGCUCCUGCUGCAUGGUGGGGGUUGGAAAGUUUCGGCGGUUGGGGAUGGACUCGCGGCUUAUCAGCUUGUUGGUGGGGUAGUGGCUUACCAAGGCUUUGACGGGUAGCCGGCCUGAGAGGGUGACCGGCCACAUUGGGAAUGAGAUACGGCCCAGACUCCUACGGGAGGCAGCAGUGGGGAAUAUUGCAAAAUGGGCGGAAGCCUGAUGCAGCAACGCCGCGUGCGGGAUGACGGCCUUCGGGUUGUAAACCGCUUUCGCCUGUGACGAAGCGGGAGUGACGGUAAUGGGUAAAGAAGCACCGGCUAACUACGUG